AGUGAACGCUGGCGGUAGGCCUAACACAUGCAAGUCGAACGGCAGCACAGUAAGAGCUUGCUCUUACGGGUGGCGAGUGGCGGACGGGUGAGGAAUACAUCGGAAUCUACUUUUUCGUGGGGGAUAACGUAGGGAAACUUACGCUACUACCGCAUACGACCUACGGGUGAAAGCAGGGGAUCUUCGGACCUUGCGCGAUUGAAUGAGCCGAUGUCGGAUUAGCUAGUUGGCGGGGUAAAGGCCCACCAAGGCGACGAUCCGUAGCUGGUCUGAGAGGAUGAUCAGACACACUGGAACUGAGACACGGUCCAGACUCCUACGGGAGGCAGCAGUGGGGAAUAUUGGACAAUGGGCGCAAGCCUGAUCCAGCCAUACCGCGUGGGUGAAGAAGGCCUUCGGGUUGUAAAGCCCUUUUGUUGGGAAAGAAAAGCAGCAGGUUAAUACCCCGCUGUUCUGACGGUACCCAAAGAAUAAGCACCGGCUAACUUCGUG
RNAcentral lists this ribosomal RNA (492 nucleotides) under uncultured bacterium. RNAcentral describes it as "partial 16S ribosomal RNA". It matches the Rfam family "Bacterial small subunit ribosomal RNA", at positions 29 to 507 of the family's 1533-position model. The record is from RNAcentral.